RNAcentral lists this long non-coding RNA (511 nucleotides) under Prunus persica (peach). RNAcentral describes it as "long non-coding RNA (PPER_LNC006402)". The record is from RNAcentral. Lineage: Eukaryota; Viridiplantae; Streptophyta; Magnoliopsida; Rosales; Rosaceae.
UGAUCAGUCUUUGUUGCUUCUUCUACUUUUUCAUUGUCAGCAGCUUUUAUCUAUUGAAUUAUUGGAAUCAGUAGUAAUUAUCGUGUAUUAACAUUAUAUAUGUUUAUGGGAGUAAGAAAAAUGCCUUAAUGUUUUCAUAUUUUGAAAUAUUCAGCUUGAUAUUGAGCUCCAAAAGGCUCCAUUUGAUCGCCGCUGGUUUGUGAUCUUCUCUUUCAGGAAUUGGACUGAUCAGGUUAGUUCUUUCACAUAGCCAAUACUGCAAACAUGUUUUUCAAUAUAAAGUGUUAAUUCACAUGAAACAAAAAAUAUAAUAGGAUUAACAAAUGGAUGUAGUUUCAUACCAGGAUUAGCACAAGGCAACCACUGACACUUGGUUGAUUUGUCUUGACCUUUUUAUUUUUUAUGGCUUGGUCCAGUCCAAAAUACAUGUAAUCUAAGACUCCUUAUGCCCAGUUGUAGUUGUUCUUUUAAGGUGCCAAUCAUAGUCAAAAAGGUCCAAGCUAUUGUUGCC